AAAUGUCCACAUGCAGCCAGGGUGCUGACUGAGGUGACCAGUUUGCUUGAGUUUUCAUGCUCUGCACUCUCCAGCGGAACCGCAGCUGCAGGACUCUUAUUUUUGUGAUGUGGAGCAUGUCUGGGUGUGUGGCAGGGGGAACUGAAAUAGUCUCUGCUGACUUUUUGUACCUACAGAUUUUGUUUCAUUGCUCAUUUUGGAAAAGGGAAGCCCUUAUAGGGGCCAAAUUAAUGGUUUUUCUGUAAAUGAUUUUUUCCCCCCUCAAACUCCAUUGGCUUGACUUCCAGUGAUAUAGAAAGGCAAUAUGGUGAACUUCUCAGCCCGAAAAAGGAGAUUUCCAAUCAGGGCCGAGAGGCUCAUGCUAAGGUGGAAAGAUUUUCCUCCGUUAUGGACUCUUGGAUACCCACGGGAGACUUAAAAGGCCCUCAGACCACGGGAUUAAUGCCACAGCUCCGGAGCAAGCCCCAGCCCCAGCCCGGCCAUACCAGGGCGUCCGUGUGAAGGAGCCAGUGAAGGAACUGCUGAGGAGGAAGCGAGGCCACGCCA
RNAcentral lists this small RNA (546 nucleotides) under Pongo abelii (Sumatran orangutan). Its description in RNAcentral is "processed transcript". Lineage: Eukaryota; Metazoa; Chordata; Mammalia; Primates; Hominidae. The record is from RNAcentral.